RNAcentral lists this long non-coding RNA (546 nucleotides) under Rattus norvegicus (Norway rat). RNAcentral describes it as "long non-coding RNA NONRATT002282". Lineage: Eukaryota; Metazoa; Chordata; Mammalia; Rodentia; Muridae. The record is from RNAcentral.
AUUAUAUAAAUUAUAAGGGUGAGAUGUAGAGGGCCGCAAUAACAUUCGCCACCACUAGAUGGCGCUGUCUUCCACUGCGCCCCACGUGGUAGGCCAGGAUAGCCUCCGCCAUUACAAGAUGGCGCCAACCUUCGCCACGCCAGCCGGCCCCCCUUUCAGGAAGUUAACUGUGCGCAUGUGCAAGAGUGCCUUCAUGCCAGGUCUUUGCCCACUCCAGGGCGUGCCUUAUGAGAUCAUGGGUAACAACCAAUCAGGUGUGGGUGCGCCGCACUAGGGUUUUAUAAGCGCGCCAUGUUGGCAUGGUGUGGCUUUUUCCUCUUCUAAGAUUAAUAAGUGGUCACAGUAAGGAUUUCUAAAUGUCCGCGUGCUUCUUGCUGGCGGGAGGUCGCGCGCGGGACAAUUCAUCACAUUAUUUCUCUUUGGGUGACUUUGAUAGAUAUUGAGAAAAUUAGUGGAUGAAAUUAGACUUAUGCUUAUGUCAAUCUAUGUAGUUCCACAGUACUUAUUAAUCAAAGACAUGGUAGGCCUUCUGCUAGGUGUGGUCUC